RNAcentral lists this unclassified non-coding RNA (253 nucleotides) under Glomus sp. RNAcentral's name for it is "partial contains 5.8S ribosomal RNA and internal transcribed spacer 2". The stretch from base 1 to 65 matches the Rfam family "5.8S ribosomal RNA", at positions 84 to 154 of the family's 154-position model. The record is from RNAcentral. Lineage: Eukaryota; Fungi; Glomeromycota; Glomeromycetes; Glomerales; Glomeraceae.
GUGAAUCAUCGAAUUUUUGAACGCAAAUUGCACUCUCCUCGGAGAGUAUGCCUGUUUGAGGGUCAGCCUAUAAAAAAUCGACAUCGUUGCUGUUUCGCGGUGAUGUUCGUCGGAAAUUGGGUCAUCUUAAAUCCUUUUGGUUUUAAGCAACUUAAAAUUUUCUUUUUGGUUCCAUGAACGUUUCUAAGAUUUAUUUCUUUACACGUUAAAGGGAAUCUUUUUUAUUUGGACUUGCCAUCAAGUCGGAAUCCCG